GCGCCUGUGGCUCAAAGGAGUAGGGCACCGGCCUCAUAGGCCGAAGGUGGCUGUUUCAAACCCAGCCGCA
RNAcentral lists this transfer RNA (70 nucleotides) under Otolemur garnettii (small-eared galago). It matches the Rfam family "tRNA". Rfam says of the family: Transfer RNA (tRNA) molecules are approximately 80 nucleotides in length. Their secondary structure includes four short double-helical elements and three loops (D, anti-codon, and T loops). Lineage: Eukaryota; Metazoa; Chordata; Mammalia; Primates; Galagidae. The record is from Rfam by way of RNAcentral.